CGAGGUACCGAAGGCCGGUCACCCCGACCC
RNAcentral lists this small RNA (30 nucleotides) under Bombyx mori (domestic silkworm). RNAcentral's name for it is "ovarian small RNA-14237". The record is from RNAcentral. Lineage: Eukaryota; Metazoa; Arthropoda; Insecta; Lepidoptera; Bombycidae.